RNAcentral lists this long non-coding RNA (2784 nucleotides) under Gallus gallus (chicken). RNAcentral's name for it is "lncRNA (ENSGALG00010015757.1)". Lineage: Eukaryota; Metazoa; Chordata; Aves; Galliformes; Phasianidae. The record is from RNAcentral.
GUUUUUAACUGAGACAGGGGAGAUUUAGGUUAGAUAUUAGGAUAAUGUUUUUUACUCAGAGGGUGGUGACGCACUGGAACAGGUUGCCCACAGAGGUUGUGGAUGCCCCAUCCCUGGAGGCAUUCAAGGCCAGGCUGGAUGUGGCUCUGGGCAGCCUGGUCUAGUGGCUGGCAACCCUGCACAUAGCAGAGGGGUUGAAUCUAGAUGAUCUUUGAUGUCCUUUUCAACCCAGGCCAUUUUAUGAUUCUAUGAUUCUGUGAUUCUAUGAUGAAAUAUUUUAUAAAUAAUAUCAGUACAGUGGACAAUGUUCUGCUUUCACUCUGAUUUAAAGUUCAUAGCAGUAGUGUAUUGUUGCCAUAAAUCAACAGAAUGGAACAAAUGUCAUAAUUUUCCUUAUACAGGUGACUUCUCUUCAUCUUUUACUAAUAUCAUUGAGGUAUCUUAACUGAAAGAAUAGAAAAGUAAUAUUUUCAGAGCCAGGUUUUAAUUCAGCAGCUCCCUCAAAGGAAUGCAAUUUCAAGUCUCAUCAACACUCGCACUUCUAAGAAUGGAGGCAAGAAAUCUGUCGAAAACUGAAGACAGACAGAUACUGUUAGCAGAACAUAUCUUUUAGGAAAUUUGAGUUGGCUGGUAAAGGGAAAACGUGAAUCAUCUCAGUCAUCAGCCCCCUGUUAAAACUGAGACAAGACUCUUAAAUGGGGCUCAUUAAAGUACAAAUAACAAUUUUCAUGGGAGUUAUAUUUAUCGUGAUGUACAACAGUUAACUGAUACACUGAAACCUGUAAGAAAUAUGUCAAAUACAGCACUAAUGUUGUUGUUUUUUUUUUUUUUUCCUUAAAUCUUGUAAUGUGCAAAACAUUUAUUCCUUCAAGUACACUGUAUUUAUGGGCUUUACUGUUACCAAGAUAUUUGCUAUUAACCAGUUGAAAUUCCAACUCUGCUUGCUUCAAUCUGAUAGAAACAUACUUGUAAAUAGUCAUUCUUGAUUCAAAGGAAAUGCAGAUGAGAGAUUUUGAAAGGAGGGUUUGGCCAAUAGGCCUAAAAGGAUGAGUUUUACUAUUUCUUUUUUUUUUUAAAAUAGAACUAGCAGUUAGGGAUAAUAUUUUUCAAAGUUUGCUGGUGGAUAUAUCUCAGGCUCUGUUUUGUCAGCUUGUAUUAAAUAUACCCUUUCUCUUUUGAAUAUCCUUUAUAUGAAAAAGGUCUAAUAUUUUAGUCUGGUCUGCGUCACUUUUAAGAGAGAGAGGGGUUUGCUAUAUAUAACUAUCCAGCAUUUCUCUUUCCCCUGUAAUUAAUACAGUUAGAGACCCUUAACUUAUUCUGUAACGUACUGACAUGGGCUAACACAUAAGCCUCUACAGUUCAGAGUAGCCAAUUAUACCUGCUGACUGUCAGCUGGUAGCCAUGGUAUCUGCCAGCUUUGCUGGUUGUUCUCACAGCAAUCUCAGAGCUUAAAUAAGCUCAGAUACUGCCUCAGCUAGUUCAAAAUUCAUACAGUACUGACUUUUGCAGGGGGAUCACACUACCACUCAUUAGGGACUGAAGAACAAGGCUGUGGAGCCCAGAGGGCUUUGUGCUAUGCCAAGUAGCUUUCACAGAAACAGGAGGGAUGCAUCUUUCUUAAGCUCACACAGAUAACUCAGGUAAAAUUCACAAAAUUCCAGAGCUCCUAUUUAUUCAGUUACUGUUCAUCUAAAUCUGGUACUAAGUUGUGUCUGAUUAUCCUGUGAAAACUGUCUGCCAACACUUUAUGCUGAAGUUAAGAUACCACUUCUGCCUUUUUGCUAUGGGUCCCAUUUCUUCUGAGAUUUUGGAUUUAUAAUAUUAGUCACUGGAUUUACACAAGUAAGCAUAAUUGUCCAAGCAUUCUCUGACAUGUGAAUGUUAUUUUUUAAUGUGUUUGUAAUUAAUAAAUAUAUAUCAUAGAAUCAUAGAAUUUUUUGAGUUGGAAGGGACCUUUAAAUAUCAUCUAGUCCAACUCCCCUGGAAUGAGCAGGGACAUUUGCAGCUAGAUCAGGUUACUCACAUCUCAGUCCGGCCUGACUUUGAAUGUCUCCAGAGAUGGGGCAUCCGCCACUUCCCUAGGCAACCUGUUCUAGUGCUUCACAGCCCUUAAGUCACCUUGAAGAGGAAGGUACCUCCAUCCUCAUUCUCAAAUAAAUUAUUAGAAUUAUUUAUUUUCUUAAAAAUUGCCACCUCUCUAAUCAGAUGUCUCUAUUAGAGUUUUAGAUUAUAUUCAGAUAGGACAAGAAAUUUUUUUCCUGUUUUUUCCUGUUUUUUACUUUUUUUUUAACUACAUAUUUUAGUGCUUUAUAUAUUGGCAUUCUGUUAGUAUAUCUAUGUAAUGUACAAUGCAUUUUCUUUAUUACAACACAUAUUAAUUGAACUUUCUAUAUGCCUGUUGGGUUUGUGGAUAGCUUGCAUUGCAUCUAAUCAUGCCUGUCACAGUAAUGUUACACGGAUGUCCAGUGUUUCCAUAUUCAAAGUGUGAAAAUAAAACUUAUAUGUAAUUUUGUGUAAUCAGCUCUUUCUCCAAAUCAAAGCUGGUGAAGCAGGCAAUUCUUGUUUACCACAAACUAUCACUCAUUUUCUUUCUAUUUCAUCCUUUGAUUUUGCAGUCCUCACAAUACUUUCAGAAAGAAUACUACAUAUAUUCUAUGAUGAGAAAUAUCUCACCUUAGAGACAGUUUAGUUCCUCCCCACCAGAACCACAAUAAAGCACUACUAAGUCUUGUUUCUCUAUGGUACUAAGUACAUGCUAACACCAAGGCCAGUACCAUAACCCAC